This 270-nucleotide ribosomal RNA is filed under the name uncultured archaeon. Its description in RNAcentral is "partial 16S ribosomal RNA". It matches the Rfam family "Archaeal small subunit ribosomal RNA", at positions 477 to 747 of the family's 1478-position model. The record is from RNAcentral.
CAGCACCUCAAGUGGUCAGGAUGAUUAUUGGGCCUAAAGCAUCCGUAGCCGGCGCUGUAAGUUUUCGGUUAAAUCUGUACGCUCAACGUACAGGCUGCCGGGAAUACUGCAGCGCUAGGGAGUGGGAGAGGUAGACGGUACUCGGUAGGAAGGGGUAAAAUCCUUUGAUCUAUUGAUGACCACCUGUGGCGAAGGCGGUCUACCAGAACACGUCCGACGGUGAGGGAUGAAAGCCGGGGGAGCAAACCGGAUUAGAUACCCGCGUAGUCU